GGAUGUGAGGGUGAUCUGGCUGCGACAUCUGUCACCCCAUUGAUCGCCAGGGUUGAUUUGGCUGAUCUGGCUGGCUAGGCCGGUGUCCCCUUCCUCCCUCAUCACUCCAUGUGUGUCCCUCCUGAAGCUGCGUGCGCAGUUGAAGAGGAUGGCCUUCGCCUAAUAGAGACAGACGGGUCUUCAGUCAAGGGGAUACAAGUAGCUGAACUCCUCUGCUAGAACCUCCAAGCAAGCUCUCAAGGUCCAUAUAUAGGCAACUUGAAGGAGACUAUAAGGAUUGGUAGAACAGGGAUUUGCAAAUAUAUAUAUAUAUUU
This 315-nucleotide small nuclear RNA is filed under the name Erinaceus europaeus (western European hedgehog). Its description in RNAcentral is "7SK RNA". It matches the Rfam family "7SK RNA". Rfam says of the family: 7SK was discovered as an abundant small nuclear RNA in the mid-70s but a possible function has only recently been suggested. Two independent studies have found that 7SK RNA binds the CDK9/cyclin T complex (known as elongation factor P-TEFb). P-TEFb activates transcription by phosphorylating the C-terminal domain of RNA polymerase II. Lineage: Eukaryota; Metazoa; Chordata; Mammalia; Eulipotyphla; Erinaceidae. The record is from Rfam by way of RNAcentral.